Molecule: non-coding RNA, 30 nt
Filed under: Mus musculus (house mouse)
Lineage: Eukaryota; Metazoa; Chordata; Mammalia; Rodentia; Muridae
Source: RNAcentral
UAGGUGGGUCAUGCCAGAUGCAACAGAUGC